UACGUAGGAGGCGAGCGUUGUCCGGAAUCACUGGGCGUAAAGGGCGCGUAGGUGGUGGCUUAAGCGUGCGGUGAAAGCUCGGAGCUCAACUCCGAGUCGGCCGUGCGAACUGGGCUCACUGGAGCAUAGUAGAGGCAGGUGGAAUUCCGGGUGUAGCGGUGGAAUGCGUAGAGAUCCGGAAGAACACCGGUGGCGAAGGCGGCCUGCUGGGCUAUGGCUGACACUGAGGCGCGACAGCGUGGGGAGCAACAGG
RNAcentral lists this ribosomal RNA (253 nucleotides) under uncultured bacterium. RNAcentral describes it as "partial 16S ribosomal RNA". It matches the Rfam family "Bacterial small subunit ribosomal RNA", at positions 524 to 775 of the family's 1533-position model. The record is from RNAcentral.